GCCGGGAUGGUGGAAUUGGUAGACGCAGCGGACUCAAAAUCCGCCGACCGCAAGGUCUUGCGAGUUCAAGUCUCGCUCCCGGUACCA
This 87-nucleotide transfer RNA is filed under the name Desulfovibrio sp. RNAcentral describes it as "tRNA-Leu". It matches the Rfam family "tRNA". From Rfam's summary of the family: Transfer RNA (tRNA) molecules are approximately 80 nucleotides in length. RNAcentral also lists the same sequence under 6 other names. The record is from RNAcentral. Lineage: Bacteria; Pseudomonadati; Thermodesulfobacteriota; Desulfovibrionia; Desulfovibrionales; Desulfovibrionaceae.